This is a long non-coding RNA of Struthio camelus australis, 2266 nucleotides long. RefSeq lists it as uncharacterized. Lineage: Eukaryota; Metazoa; Chordata; Aves; Struthioniformes; Struthionidae. The record is from RefSeq and is a predicted model, not a curated record.
AAAUGCUUGUUAUCUUAAUUUUUUUUUUAAGUUUCCAGAAUGAACAGAAAACAGUUAACUCAGCUUUCUGAUUUCUCUGAGACACAAAAAAUUGGGUUUGUAGCAUUUAUGAAGAGAAAACAGCAGCAAUAUUUAAAUUAAGUGGGAUUGAUGGCAGUGCAUCUUCCCAGUUUUGCUACAGAAGUAUAGUCGUCUCUUUUUACUUCAGUAAGGAUACUACCUACACCACCAUUUCUGUUGCAGCCGCUCUAAAUGUUCUCCAUAUUUUUUCGUAUUGAAUAUGCAAAAAAACCCCAGAAUUUGAUGUAAUGCAGUAUAAAGAUUUCAUUUUCAUUUAUGGACUUCAUCUGCAGAUGCACUUCUCAGAAAUACUGCAAUAACCUAAACUACAAUGUUUGUGUUAUGCUACAUUAUUUGUAUUAUUUUUGUAAUCCCUCUCCUUCACUGUCCCCUUGAAAAGUUUGCAUAAUUAUUGUAUGAAGAUGAUAAACAUUUGGAACAGGAACCAUACUUUCUUAUUUCUUACGAGAAGUGCACAGUACAUAUUUGAAUAAAAUAAAGCUGUAUAUAAUAAUCAUUAGCAUUUUUGAGCUAUAUCCCAGAAUGUCAUUUUGAAGGAUAUGUCAAAUAUGAAAGGAUAGAAAAAAACCUACACUGGAGGUAGAGGAAUCCCGUCAUACUUUCAACAUUAGUCAAAAAUUCAAAUCAGGAUAAUUUUUAUGAGCUGUAUUUUAAGUUUAAAAGAGUUUGAAAAAUUGCUUUUGACUUUUUUUCCUUUUUUACUUUUUUUCCAUAUGAAUAAAUCUCAUAUUUUUCAUGUAAUUUUAUUUAUGAAAAAUCUUAGGUGUUAAUGCAGGAUUUAUAACAGAGGGGGCUUGCAAACUUAGCCAAAGAACCUUGGCCCAACUCUGUUUUCUCUCUCUUUUUUUUUUUUUUUGGGGGGGAGGUGGAAAAAGCCAAAAGUGCGUGCCAGUUCAUACAAGGAACCACUGUGAAGAAGAAGGAAGGGAGGAAGGAGGGGGGGACGUUUAAAUAAUCACAACUUCUCUUUGUCUUUUUAUUCCUCAUCCUGAUCCACCUUACUUGUGUCUUCCUUAUUGCUUCUGCUUUUCUUACCUCUUGAGGCUGACCGUGCAGUGCAGAAACGUGAAAGGUCCCUGAGGAGCUGCAACGAAAAUCCCUCUGCAAAUAUGGCUGGGAGAUUCAGGCUGUCAAGCUGCUCUUGGGUGACACGAGAGCGCGGAGUCACAAAUAUCUGUCACCAAAAUCUGCAUGCUGUUGACCCAUGUGCAGGCAUAAUAAGUAACUGAAGACAGUAGAAAGAUCUCCUCUUGGCCUUCUCUUCCUAAGACUGAACAAGCUCAGUUCUCUCAUCCUCUCUUCAUACGCUGUGUGCUCUGCCCCCUCAACCAUCUUAGUGGUGACUGCUGGACUCACAGGAAUCCAGGAUAUGUGAACUAUGCGCUGAUGACAAGAGCAAGAAAACCUUUGCAGAACAGAAUACAUCCUGAGUUAAAUUGUUAGGCUGGAGUAUUAUAGACAACUUGCUACAAGACUGACAAGGACUCAACAUCCACAAUGAGCCUUUCAAAAAUGUUUGGUCACCUCCAGCUCUGCUACACCUACAGCAAAUUAUUCACACCUCAGAAGAAAUCCUAGCAAACUGUGAGAAUUUCAGAACUGUCAGAAGAAGGAGCUGAAAUACAAAAUAGCAUCUGCAAGGGGAUGGGAGGGAAAGUGUAGUCAAAAAUCUUGAAUAAUUGAUGCUGAAUUCUAAGACAGACAAAAUGUUAUGCCUGAAUGCACAAGUAGCCUGGAGUCAAAUUUCAGCUUUAGGGUAAAUCCAAUAUGAGAAUUCCUAAGAUUUCUGUACAGCCUAGUAAAAUGGAAAGAACAUUACAUGAUCAAGCAAGCAAAAGAAACACUGUCUCUUCUCACCAUAGCAUUUCAUCAAAAUUCAUUUCCCCUAUGAUGGCUGUCAAGAAUCAAUUCCAAGAGCUGAUCCACAAGAUACUAUGGACUUGGUUGAUUAACCUUCUAACAGGUAUGUGCUCCCUGGAGAUGUGAACAUCCAUAUCAACAUCUGAUGGAUCAACAAAAGUGUGGGACCCUGAAGUCACUAGCAAAGACUUAGUCAGUACCAUGGUGCUAAAAAAAAUGUGCAAAUUUGUUUCAGCUCAGAGUAUUUGACAGACACCCUUUCAGGAGUCAUUUGCUUUCAAUUUCAAAUUCAAUGCCCGAAUGAAAUAAAGAAUCAGAUGCCCAC